This 1434-nucleotide ribosomal RNA is filed under the name uncultured bacterium. Its description in RNAcentral is "bacterial SSU rRNA". It matches the Rfam family "Bacterial small subunit ribosomal RNA". The record is from RNAcentral.
AGAGUUUGAUCCUGGCUCAGGAUGAACGCCGGCGGUGUGCCUAAUACAUGCAAGUCGUACGCACUGGCCCAACUGAUUGAUGGUGCUUGCACCUGAUUGACGUUGGAUCACCAGUGAGUGGCGGACGGGUGAGUAACACGUAGGUAACCUGCCCCGGAGCGGGGGAUAACAUUUGGAAACAGAUGCUAAUACCGCAUAACAACAAAAGCCACAUGGCUUUUGUUUGAAAGAUGGCUUUGGCUAUCACUCUGGGAUGGACCUGCGGUGCAUUAGCUAGUUGGUAAGGUAACGGCUUACCAAGGCGAUGAUGCAUAGCCGAGUUGAGAGACUGAUCGGCCACAAUGGAACUGAGACACGGUCCAUACUCCUACGGGAGGCAGCAGUAGGGAAUCUUCCACAAUGGGCGCAAGCCUGAUGGAGCAACACCGCGUGAGUGAAGAAGGGUUUCGGCUCGUAAAGCUCUGUUGUUGGAGAAGAACGUGCGUGAGAGUAACUGUUCACGCAGUGACGGUAUCCAACCAGAAAGUCACGGCUAACUACGUGCCAGCAGCCGCGGUAAUACGUAGGUGGCAAGCGUUAUCCGGAUUUAUUGGGCGUAAAGCGAGCGCAGGCGGUUGCUUAGGUCUGAUGUGAAAGCCUUCGGCUUAACCGAAGAAGUGCAUCGGAAACCGGGCGACUUGAGUGCAGAAGAGGACAGUGGAACUCCAUGUGUAGCGGUGGAAUGCGUAGAUAUAUGGAAGAACACCAGUGGCGAAGGCGGCUGUCUGGUCUGCAACUGACGCUGAGGCUCGAAAGCAUGGGUAGCGAACAGGAUUAGAUACCCUGGUAGUCCAUGCCGUAAACGAUGAGUGCUAGGUGUUGGAGGGUUUCCGCCCUUCAGUGCCGGAGCUAACGCAUUAAGCACUCCGCCUGGGGAGUACGACCGCAAGGUUGAAACUCAAAGGAAUUGACGGGGGCCCGCACAAGCGGUGGAGCAUGUGGUUUAAUUCGAAGCUACGCGAAGAACCUUACCAGGUCUUGACAUCUUGCGCUAACCUUAGAGAUAAGGCGUUCCCUUCGGGGACGCAAUGACAGGUGGUGCAUGGUCGUCGUCAGCUCGUGUCGUGAGAUGUUGGGUUAAGUCCCGCAACGAGCGCAACCCUUGUUACUAGUUGCCAGCAUUAAGUUGGGCACUCUAGUGAGACUGCCGGUGACAAACCGGAGGAAGGUGGGGACGACGUCAGAUCAUCAUGCCCCUUAUGACCUGGGCUACACACGUGCUACAAUGGACGGUACAACGAGUCGCAAGCUCGCGAGAGUAAGCUAAUCUCUUAAAGCCGUUCUCAGUUCGGACUGUAGGCUGCAACUCGCCUACACGAAGUCGGAAUCGCUAGUAAUCGCGGAUCAGCAUGCCGCGGUGAAUACGUUCCCGGGCCUUGCACACACCGCCCGUCA